RNAcentral lists this unclassified non-coding RNA (218 nucleotides) under Ascomycota sp. RNAcentral describes it as "partial contains small subunit ribosomal RNA, internal transcribed spacer 1, and 5.8S ribosomal RNA". The record is from RNAcentral. Lineage: Eukaryota; Fungi; Ascomycota.
AAAGUUGUAACAAGGUUUCUGUAGGUAAACCUGCGGAAGAAUUAUUAUUGUAGGGCUUCAGCCCUCUUGAAAUAGAACUCUUGCCUUUUUGAGUACCUUUCGUUUCCUUAGCGGGCUCGCCCGCCAAUGGGGACCACAAUAAACUCUUUGUAAUACCUGUAAUUGUCUGACAAAACAAACAAAAAUUAAAACUUUUAACAACAGAUCUCUUGGUUCUG